Molecule: long non-coding RNA, 513 nt
Filed under: Homo sapiens (human)
Lineage: Eukaryota; Metazoa; Chordata; Mammalia; Primates; Hominidae
Description: non-protein coding lnc-NRG4-1:1
Source: RNAcentral
GCAUCCACUGGGGUCUUGGAAUGUAUCCCCCAUGGAGAAGAGGGGACUACUGUACUUAAUGCUACUGAACUUAAAAAUGGUUAAAAUGGUCAUGAACAACACUGAAGAAACGUCAAAGUGAACCAAAUCAUUGUUUUUAUUUUACAAAGGCAGAAAAUGAAACACCACUAGGAUUUUCAUUAAGCCAACUCAUACCCAGUUUCUACAAAUGAAAACCAAGUCAAUCAUCUAAAAUUUCAUGAUUUCUUCCCAUCAAGAGGAUCUGGAGUCUUCUGUUCCCAUUAAAACUGAAUUUAUGGCAGUGCAAACCUGGGCCAGACUGGGUAUAAAAUGACAAAAGCAUAUUUAUAUUCUUAAAAAUUUCUGCAGAUUGCAUAGAAAGUUCUCAGAUUUGUGGCUGGGCGCAGUGGCUCAUGCCUGUAAUCCCAGCACUUUGGGAGGCCGAGGCGGGCGGAUCACAAGGUCAGGAGAUCGAGACCAUCUUGGCUAACACGGUGAAACCCCGUCUCUACU